UAUGGGGCGCAGCAGGCGAGAUACACUUGCUAUGUGCUAAAGCACGACAAGGUUAAUCCGAGUGUCUCAUGCUAAAGGAGUCUUUCUGCCGGUCAUAGAACCACCGGUGAAUAAGGGGUGGGUCAAGUUCUGGUGUCAGCCGCCGCGGUACAAACCAGCACCUCGAGUGGUCAGGAGGUUUAUUGGGCCUAAAGCAUCCGUAGCCGCGCUGCUCAAGUUUUCGGUUAAAUUUAUGCGCUCCACGUAUAGGCCGCCGAAAAUACUGGGCAGCUAGGGAGUGGGAGAGGUACACGGUACUCGAUAGGAAGGGGUAAAAUCCUUUGAUCUAUUGAUGACCACCUGUGGCGAAGGCGGUGUACCAGAACACGUUCGACGGUGAGGGAUGAAAGUCUGGGGGAGCAAACCGGAUUAGAUACCCGGGUAGUCCCAGCUGUAAACGAUGCAGACUCGGUGAUGCAUUGGCUUGUGGCCAAUGCAGUGCCGCAGGGAAGCCGUUAAGUCUGCCGCCUGGGGCGACAGCAGAAUGAAGGUCAAGCUGAAGACUUUACCAGACAAGCUGAGAGGUGGUGCAUGGCCGUCGCCAGCUCGUGCCGUGAGAUGUCCUGUUAAGUCAGGUAACGAGCGAGACCCCUGCGUCUAGUUGCUACCAUUACUCUCUGGAGCAGUGGAGCGAAUUAGACGGACCGCCACAGUUAAUGUGGAGGAAGGAAGGGGCCACGGCAGGUCAGUAUGCCCCGAAACCCUAGGGCUACACGCGGGCUGCAAUGGUAUUGACAAUGUGUUCCGAAUCCGAAAGGAGGAGGUCAAUCAUCAAACGAUACCUCAUUUAUACUUAGGGUCUGUCAACUCGUCCCUCACGUAAUAUGUGUACAUCCCUAGUUAACUGUCGUGUUCACUACGUUGUGCUUGUACAUCAGCUUACCCGUCUGCCUGGUCCACCACACGCUCCGCUUGCGUUUUCAUGUAAGUUUGUGUCCUUUCAGUUGUAGUGUUAGUAGUUCUUGUGUGUUGUCAUUAUCCUGCUGCUUAUGGG
RNAcentral lists this ribosomal RNA (1033 nucleotides) under uncultured archaeon. Its description in RNAcentral is "partial 16S ribosomal RNA". The stretch from base 1 to 901 matches the Rfam family "Archaeal small subunit ribosomal RNA", at positions 324 to 1478 of the family's 1478-position model. The record is from RNAcentral.